CCUACGGGAGGCAGCAGUGAGGAAUAUUGGUCAAUGGGCGAGAGCCUGAACCAGCCAAGUCGCGUGAAGGAUGAAGGAUCUAUGGUUUGUAAACUUCUUUUAUAUGGGAAUAAAGUGAGGAACGUGUUCCUUUUUGUAUGUACCAUAUGAAUAAGCAUCGGCUAACUCCGUGCCAGCAGCCGCGGUAAUACGGAGGAUGCGAGCGUUAUCCGGAUUUAUUGGGUUUAAAGGGUGCGUAGGCGGUCCGUUAAGUCAGCGGUAAAAUUGCGGGGCUCAACCCCGUCGAGCCGUUGAAACUGGCAGACUUGAGUUGGCGAGAAGUACGCGGAAUGCGCGGUGUAGCGGUGAAAUGCAUAGAUAUCGCGCAGAACUCCGAUUGCGAAGGCAGCGUACCGGCGCCAGACUGACGCUGAGGCACGAAAGCGUGGGGAUCGAACAGGAUUAGAUACCCUUGUAGUC
RNAcentral lists this ribosomal RNA (459 nucleotides) under uncultured bacterium. RNAcentral describes it as "partial 16S ribosomal RNA". It matches the Rfam family "Bacterial small subunit ribosomal RNA", at positions 338 to 795 of the family's 1533-position model. The record is from RNAcentral.